CUCCAUCUUUAAAAAAAUUCACCUACCCUGCCCUUGCCAGUUGGCUCAGCUGGUGGGAGUGCCGUCCUGUACACCGAAAAGUGGUGGGUUCACUCCCUGGUCAGGGCACAGACCUAGGUUUUGUGUUCUGUCCCCAG
Long non-coding RNA from Myotis brandtii (Brandt's bat), 137 nucleotides. RefSeq lists it as uncharacterized. The transcript has 3 exons. NCBI's taxonomy places the organism in Eukaryota, Metazoa, Chordata, Mammalia, Chiroptera, Vespertilionidae. The record is from RefSeq and is a predicted model, not a curated record.